RNAcentral lists this ribosomal RNA (465 nucleotides) under Vreelandella stevensii. Its description in RNAcentral is "partial 16S ribosomal RNA". It matches the Rfam family "Bacterial small subunit ribosomal RNA", at positions 338 to 795 of the family's 1533-position model. Lineage: Bacteria; Pseudomonadati; Pseudomonadota; Gammaproteobacteria; Oceanospirillales; Halomonadaceae. The record is from RNAcentral.
CCUACGGGCGGCAGCAGUGGGGAAUAUUGGACAAUGGGGGCAACCCUGAUCCAGCCAUGCCGCGUGUGUGAAGAAGGCCCUCGGGUUGUAAAGCACUUUCAGUGAGGAAGAACGCCUGGUGGUUAAUACCCAUCAGGAAAGACAUCACUCACAGAAGAAGCACCGGCUAACUCCGUGCCAGCAGCCGCGGUAAUACGGAGGGUGCGAGCGUUAAUCGGAAUUACUGGGCGUAAAGCGCGCGUAGGUGGCUUGAUAAGCCGGUUGUGAAAGCCCCGGGCUCAACCUGGGAACGGCAUCCGGAACUGUCAAGCUAGAGUGCAGGAGAGGAAGGUAGAAUUCCCGGUGUAGCGGUGAAAUGCGUAGAGCUCGGGAGGAAUACCAGUGGCGAAGGCGGCCUUCUGGACUGACACUGACACUGAGGUGCGAAAGCGUGGGUAGCAAACAGGAUUAGAUACCCCUGUAGUC